CGUAGGUGGCAAGCGUUAUCCGGAAUUAUUGGGCGUAAAGCGCGCGUAGGCGGCGAGAUUAGUCUGAUGUGAAAGCCCCCGGCUCAACCGGGGAAGGUCAUUGGAAACUGUUUCGCUUGAGUGCAGAAGAGGAGAGUGGAAUUCCAUGUGUAGCGGUGAAAUGCGCAGAGAUAUGGAGGAACACCAGUGGCGAAGGCGGCUCUCUGGUCUGCAACUGACGCUGAUGUGCGAAAGCGUGGGAUCAAACAGGAUU
Molecule: ribosomal RNA, 253 nt
Filed under: uncultured bacterium
Lineage: Bacteria
Description: partial 16S ribosomal RNA
Rfam family: Bacterial small subunit ribosomal RNA
Source: RNAcentral